Molecule: ribosomal RNA, 445 nt
Filed under: uncultured bacterium
Lineage: Bacteria
Description: partial 16S ribosomal RNA
Rfam family: Bacterial small subunit ribosomal RNA
Source: RNAcentral
UCCAGACUCCUACGGGAGGCAGCAGUGGGGAAUAUUGCACAAUGGGGGGAACCCUGAUGCAGCGACGCCGCGUGGGUGAAGGAGUAUUUCGGUAUGUAAAGCCCUAUCAGCAGGGAAGAACAAUGACGGUACCUGACUAAGAAGCACCGGCUAAAUACGUGCCAGCAGCCGCGGUAAUACGGAGGAUGCGAGCGUUAUCCGGAUUUAUUGGGUUUAAAGGGUGCGUAGGCGGACAGUCAAGUCAGCGGUAAAAAUGCGGUGCUCAACGCCGUACAGCCGUUGAAACUGGCAGUCUUGAGUGGGCGAGAAGUAUGCGGAAUGCGUGGUGUAGCGGUGAAAUGCAUAGAUAUCACGCAGAACUCCGAUUGCGAAGGCAGCAUACCGGCGCCCGACUGACGCUGAGGCACGAAAGCGUGGGUAUCGAACAGGAUUAGAUGCCCUCGUA